Molecule: transfer RNA, 72 nt
Filed under: Culex quinquefasciatus (southern house mosquito)
Lineage: Eukaryota; Metazoa; Arthropoda; Insecta; Diptera; Culicidae
Rfam family: tRNA
About the family: Transfer RNA (tRNA) molecules are approximately 80 nucleotides in length. Their secondary structure includes four short double-helical elements and three loops (D, anti-codon, and T loops).
Source: Rfam by way of RNAcentral
UCCCAUAUUGUCUAGUGGUUAGGAUAUCCGGCUCUCACCCGGAAGGUCCGGGUUCGAUUUCCGGUAUGGGAA